Molecule: RNA transcript, 293 nt
Organism: Orbicella faveolata
Lineage: Eukaryota; Metazoa; Cnidaria; Anthozoa; Scleractinia; Merulinidae
Source: RefSeq, a predicted model, not a curated record
GGCGGGUGAUUAUACAUGGCGGGUAUUGUUUCAAGCAAGAUAAGAAUGAAACACAUCAAAGUGAAAGGAGCCUAGUUUUUCAAGACGGCACAUGAUAAUAUCAACAUGGAAACUAUGAUUAGUAGAUACAAAAUAGAGGAGCAAGGAAAAGAACAGUUGAGACUCAUUGGAGAAAUCAAUUUGAGACAUUGGAUCCCAAAGUAGGUCACAAUCACGAUUUUAUUUAUGUUUGGUAUCAUGUACUAGGAAUAAUUGUGGGUGUACAAAAAGACUAGAAUGCCUGGGGUACUGUU